RNAcentral lists this ribosomal RNA (253 nucleotides) under uncultured bacterium. RNAcentral's name for it is "partial 16S ribosomal RNA". It matches the Rfam family "Bacterial small subunit ribosomal RNA", at positions 524 to 776 of the family's 1533-position model. The record is from RNAcentral.
UACGUAGGGGGCAAGCGUUGUCCGGAAUCAUUGGGCGUAAAGAGCGUGUAGGCGGCCCGAUAAGUCCGCUGUGAAAGUCCAGGGCUCAACCCUGGGAUGCCGGUGGAUACUGUCGGGCUCGAGUCCGGAAGAGGAGUGUGGAAUUCCUGGUGUAGCGGUGAAAUGCGCAGAUAUCAGGAGGAACACCAAUAGCGAAGGCAGCUCGCUGGGACGUUACUGACGCUGAGGAGCGAAAGCGUGGGGAGCGAACGGG